AGAAAUAUAGGAUCAAUAAGAAGCUUCUAACUUCUUUAAGGUGGUUCGACUCCAUCAAUUUCUU
This 64-nucleotide transfer RNA is filed under the name Placobdella lamothei. RNAcentral's name for it is "transfer RNA Serine". Lineage: Eukaryota; Metazoa; Annelida; Clitellata; Rhynchobdellida; Glossiphoniidae. The record is from RNAcentral.